CCUACGGGCGGCAGCAGUGGGGAAUAUUGCACAAUGGGCGCAAGCCUGAUGCAGCCAUGCCGCGUGUGUGAAGAAGGCCUUCGGGUUGUAAAGCACUUUCAGCGGGGAGGAAGGCGGUGAGGUUAAUAACCUCAUCGAUUGACGUUACCCGCAGAAGAAGCACCGGCUAACUCCGUGCCAGCAGCCGCGGUAAUACGGAGGGUGCAAGCGUUAAUCGGAAUUACUGGGCGUAAAGCGCACGCAGGCGGUCUGUCAAGUCGGAUGUGAAAUCCCCGGGCUCAACCUGGGAACUGCAUUCGAAACUGGCAGGCUAGAGUCUUGUAGAGGGGGAGCAGAAUUCCACGUGUAGCGGUGAAAUGCGUAGAGAUGUGGAGGAACACCAGUGGCGAAGGCGGCUCUCUGGCCUGUAACUGACGCUGAGGCGCGAAAGCGUGGGGAGCGAACAGGAUUAGAUACCCGGGUAGUC
This 466-nucleotide ribosomal RNA is filed under the name uncultured Klebsiella sp. Its description in RNAcentral is "bacterial SSU rRNA". It matches the Rfam family "Bacterial small subunit ribosomal RNA", at positions 338 to 795 of the family's 1533-position model. Lineage: Bacteria; Pseudomonadati; Pseudomonadota; Gammaproteobacteria; Enterobacterales; Enterobacteriaceae. The record is from RNAcentral.